GGUGAAAGGCCAAUCAAACUCGGAGAUAGCUGGUUCUCCGCGAAAUCUAUUUAGGUAGAGCGUCUCGUAUUACCCUCGGGGGUAGAGCACUGGAUGGGCUAGGGGGUCCCAACGACUUACCAAACCUAACCAAACUCCGAAUACCGAGGAGUAGAGCGAGGCAGACACACUGCGGGUGCUAAGGUCCGUAGUGGAGAGGGAAACAGCCCUGACCGCCAGCUAAGGUCCCUAAGUUAUCACUAAGUGGGAAACGAUGUGGGAGUGCUUAGACAACCAGGAGGUUGGCUUAGAAGCAGCCACCCUUUAAAGAAAGCGUAAUAGCUCACUAGUCGAGUCGGCCUGCGCGGAAGAUGUAACGGGGCUCAAACUGGUCACCGAAGCUUCGGCUUC
RNAcentral lists this ribosomal RNA (390 nucleotides) under Pelagomonas calceolata. Its description in RNAcentral is "partial Bacterial large subunit ribosomal RNA". It matches the Rfam family "Bacterial large subunit ribosomal RNA", at positions 819 to 1209 of the family's 2925-position model. The record is from RNAcentral. Lineage: Eukaryota; Pelagophyceae; Pelagomonadales; Pelagomonadaceae.